AGUGAACGCUGGCGGUAGGCCUAACACAUGCAAGUCGAACGGCAGCACAGUAAGAGCUUGCUCUUACGGGUGGCGAGUGGCGGACGGGUGAGGAAUACAUCGGAAUCUACUUUUUCGUGGGGGAUAACGUAGGGAAACUUACGCUAAUACCGCAUACGACCUACGGGUGAAAGCAGGGGAUCUUCGGACCCUGCGCGAUUGAAUGAGCCGAUGUCGGAUUAGCUAGUUGGCGGGGUAAAGGCCCACCAAGGCGACGAUCCGUAGCUGGUCUGAGAGGAUGAUCAGCCACACUGGAAGUGAGACACGGUCCAGACUCCUACGGGAGGCAGCAGUGGGGAAUAUUGGACAAUGGGCGCAAGCCUGAUCCAGCCAUACCGCGUGGGUGAAGAAGGCCUUCGGGUUGUAAAGCCCUUUUGUUGGGAAAGAAAAACAGCAGGUUAAUACCCCGCUGUUCUGACGGUACCCAAAGAAGAAGCACCGGCUAACUUCGUG
RNAcentral lists this ribosomal RNA (492 nucleotides) under uncultured bacterium. RNAcentral describes it as "partial 16S ribosomal RNA". It matches the Rfam family "Bacterial small subunit ribosomal RNA", at positions 29 to 507 of the family's 1533-position model. The record is from RNAcentral.